GUUCUCUAGGACAAAGAAGUGCAGCCAUCAAGAGCAACACUCCGGGUGGUGGAGGAGGGGCCAUGGGGCAUCUGCUCUGGCAGCCAUGGGAACUCUGCCUCUUAGCCCAGACCACUGCAAGCCCACAACACCAGCCCUUGUGGCACCAGGGCUGGCAGGAUCCUGGGGAGGAGCUUACCAGGCUGCACAAUCACAGUCACUUGAGCGGUGGCCUGCUGUCCUGCGGUGUCCGUCACUGUGAGCUGGUAGGUAUAGUCUCCUUCUUGCAUCGCAGACAGCUGCAGGGCUGGUGUUCUAACUCCCUAUGUGCAGAAAGUCAGGCAUGGGUAAUGACUCCCAGGACUACAGCAGUACACACAGUGCUCACUCGGAAAGAAAUGCUUGAGCCAGGUCUUUAAACCUAACUUGGUACGGGGGUCCCCGUUCAGCACACUGAGUGACCACUGACAGGACAGCGUGAGACACGGUACUAAAUAAAGACUUUCUAUAGACCUGUGACAGCAGAGAAACCUAUCAAAACACAUGAACAAAGCCAGGUAAAACAUGCUUUGCAUCAUACCUCUAGAAACCUGAAGCUGCAGAGCCCUUCCUGCCUAUCAGAAGGAACAUUGGAGGAAAACCGCCAAUGCAGGGGCUUCCUUGGCCGGCCAGGGCUGAUCCCUGCUUGCAGGGAUUGCCUAUCCUGUAGUGCUCCAUGUUGGAAAAUUCCACCCAGGAGUCUCAUUUCUGUCUGCUCUUAGCAAGGCUGUCAAGUAGCACUAAGAUCAUCUCUCUAUGUGACAGCAGCCAGCAGGACCCAGGAGCAGCAGAUUCCUGCUCACCACAGCCUAGCCCAGGUCACUCAUUUUACAGACUUCUGGGGAGGACAUCUUUUAGCUAGAUGAUCUACUCCAAUGAGCUUAGGAAGGUUUGCACGCUGGUGGCAUCUGUGUAGUGUGACCCUCUGGAUUGGGUCAUCCAUAAGAGACAAGUUUUUUGGUUUUUUUUUUUUAAAGAUUUAUUUAUUUUAUGUAUGUGAGUACACUGCAGCUGUCUUCAGACACACCAGAAGAGGGCAUCAGAUCCCAUUACAGAUGGUUGUGAGCCACCAUGUGGUUGCUGGGAAUUGAACUCAGGACCUCUGGAAGAGCAGUCAGUGCUCUUAACCUCUGAGCCAUCUCUCCAGCCCAAGAGACAAGUUUCUUACCUCGCCUCCUAAUACUAAAAGUUUCAGAUAAUCUGUUAAUCAGACCAGCAAUUUUCUGAAUUUAUUUAGGGUGUAAAAAAUCUAAAUGCACAAGCCUGACUUUGGGAAUAAAAUGGGGCAGAGAUAAACCCUAAGUAGCAGAUGAAAUCCAGAGACUCCCUGCCCCCUGAGAGAGAAGGUGAGUGGUCCCUCCUACCUGCAUCUCCACCACCUUCCCUUUGCUGCUCGGGCUAAGUGACCACUCGUAGCUGCUGAUGCCGUGGUCAUCAGUGCUCUGGUUCCCAAAGAGGGUGAUGGAGUUCUGGGGCAGGGUGAUCACUUGGUUGGGGCCGGCAUUGGCCACGGGAGGGUAGUCCACAGCUUUGUUCACAGUCAGACUUGCAGUGGUAGAGUUGGUAGCCCCGUCAGAGUCGACAACAGUCAAGCUGUUGGUACAGAAGCGUCAGUAGGGAGGACGGACAUCAGGAUGGGGCAGGACCAAGCUGGCAGCUCCCCUCCUACCCAUCCUGUUGCAGGAGCAGAGUCAUGCUAGAACUAACAUUGACUGAGGCUCUCCUGUGUACCAGGCAAAGUUCCAAGUGCUUUAUAUCUACCUGAACACCCACAACAGCUCCUUAAGGUCUAACCUUCACGCUUCUCCACACCCAUAUGAAGAGACUGAGAGUAAGUUGCCCAGAGUCAUACAGCAGGACAGCAGUGGCUUCAGGAUCUGUGACCCAGCCCCUAUAUGGCAGCAGCACAAACUGCUGUGUCUAUCCAUGUACGGAGGCCUUAUAAGUGUUGCAGGGUUCGCACCAUGGAUAUCAAGGCCCAGAAACCCUGGCUGGCCUCGAACUCACAGAGAUCUGUCUGCCUCUGCUUCUGCCUCCAGAGUGCCAGGAAUGCAGGCACACACCUUACCCAGCUCAGAAACCCAUUCUUAAGAAGGAAUCAUCCCGGGCUGGAGAGAUGGCUCAGUGGUUAAGAACACCCGACUGUUCUUCCAGAGGUCAUGAGUUCAAUUCCCAGCAACCACAUGGUGGCUCACAACCAUCUGUAAAGAGAUCCGAUGCCCUCUUCUGGUGUAUCUGAAGACAGCUACAGUGUACUUAUAUAUAAUAAAAUAAAUCUUUAAAAAAAAAAAAAAAAAAAAAAAAAAAAAAAAAAAGAA
Molecule: non-coding RNA, 2336 nt
Organism: Rattus norvegicus (Norway rat)
Lineage: Eukaryota; Metazoa; Chordata; Mammalia; Rodentia; Muridae
Source: RefSeq, a predicted model, not a curated record